GAUGAACGCUGGCGGCGUGCCUAAUACAUGCAAGUCGAGCGAACAGACGAGGAGCUUGCUCCUCUGACGUUAGCGGCGGACGGGUGAGUAACACGUGGAUAACCUACCUAUAAGACUGGGAUAACUUCGGGAAACCGGAGCUAAUACCGGAUAAUAUAUUGAACCGCAUGGUUCAAUAGUGAAAGACGGUUUUGCUGUCACUUAUAGAUUGAUCCGCGCCGCAUUAGCUAGUUGGUAAGGUAACGGCUUACCAAGGCAACGAUGCGUAGCCGACCUGAGAGGGUGAUCGGCCACACUGGAACUGAGACACGGUCCAGACUCCUACGGGAGGCAGCAGUAGGGAAUCUUACGCGAUGGGCGAAAGCCUGACGGAGCAAAGCCGCGUGAGUGAUGAAGGUCUUCGGAUCGUAAAACUCUGUUAUUAGGGAAGAACAAAUGUGUAAGUAACUAGGCACGUCUUGACGGUACCUAAUCAGAAAGCCACGGCUAACUACGUG
This 497-nucleotide ribosomal RNA is filed under the name uncultured bacterium. RNAcentral describes it as "partial 16S ribosomal RNA". It matches the Rfam family "Bacterial small subunit ribosomal RNA", at positions 28 to 507 of the family's 1533-position model. The record is from RNAcentral.